Molecule: long non-coding RNA, 762 nt
Organism: Athalia rosae (coleseed sawfly)
Lineage: Eukaryota; Metazoa; Arthropoda; Insecta; Hymenoptera; Athaliidae
Exons: 3
Source: RefSeq, a predicted model, not a curated record
CCAUGAGACCAUGCUGUAUAAAAACUAUCGGUUUCUUUCUAGCCGGAGAAGAAUUUGGACUACUUGGUAUCCUGUGCAUGACCAAUUUGUAACCAUCGAUUGUGAUAACGUUGUGUUCCUCGGCUGGAUAAUUGUGCUGUUUCACCAAUCCCAUCUGUUCAAAAGAAAAAAUAGAAAGAAAUUUAAUGACCAAAGAAUUUCCGCGUCAAAAAAAGAACGACAAUUGUGCGAUCCGUCGCUAUUGAGACGAUAAUUAAUCUCUAUACCAUUGGACACGAUGCAUUAAAAUUCAAAAAUACGUAAUCGAGCGUAUAAAUAAGAAUAAUGUUAGCGGGCCAACGACAAACGCGGAAAGUCACCGAGACCGGCGAUACUGUGACGUCAACUUCAUACCCGCGUGGCUCGACCGCAGCCUCGCCGACCUUGAAAGACCACCAAGGUGGCGAUUUGUCAGUCUUCCUAAAGAUUUCGGCACGUUUAUAUUUUCUACAUCUGUAAUCUGAUUAUAUUCUCGAGUUGUCGCAAGGACUCUUGGAAACAGUGGUCAAAUUCAAAGCGAUGCUUCGAAGUGAUAGAUCUAGUUUUAGGUCUAUCACUUCCGGUGUAUGGGUACACAUCACGGCUGACAUCCUUGAUGCGAUUGAAACGAGGAAACGGAGGUGCUACCAGAGCCUUCAACAAUCCAAAGGACGUUACCUCUGAGACGUCGUGCACGAUAAGGAUACAGGCGAGUAGCACACAGUCGUUUAAUCGUGUCAUUAU